RNAcentral lists this ribosomal RNA (440 nucleotides) under uncultured bacterium. RNAcentral's name for it is "partial 16S ribosomal RNA". It matches the Rfam family "Bacterial small subunit ribosomal RNA", at positions 338 to 795 of the family's 1533-position model. The record is from RNAcentral.
CCUACGGGAGGCAGCAGUAGGGAAUAUUGCUCAAUGGGCGAAACCCUGAAGCAGCAACGCAGCGUGGAGGAUGAAGGUUUUCGGAUUGUAAACUCCUUUUGUUAGAGAAGAUAAUGACGGUAUCUAACGAAUAAGCACCGGCUAACUCCGUGCCAGCAGCCGCAGUAAUACGGAGGGUGCAAGCGUUACUCGGAAUAACUGGGCGUAAAGAGCGCGUAGGCGGGAUAGCAAGUCAGAUGUGAAAUCCUAUGGCUUAACCAUAGAAUUGCAUUUGAAACUGUUAUUCUAGAGUAUGGGAGAGGUAGGUGGAAUUCUUGGUGUAGGGGUAAAAUCCGUAGAGAUCAAGAGGAAUACUCAUUGCGAAGGCGGCCUACUAGAACAUAACUGACGCUGAUGCGCGAAAGCGUGGGGAGCAAACAGGAUUAGAUACCCGUGUAGUC